RNAcentral lists this ribosomal RNA (253 nucleotides) under uncultured bacterium. Its description in RNAcentral is "partial 16S ribosomal RNA". It matches the Rfam family "Bacterial small subunit ribosomal RNA", at positions 524 to 776 of the family's 1533-position model. The record is from RNAcentral.
UACGGGGGGGGCAAGCGUUGUUCGGAAUUACUGGGCGUAAAGGGCUCGUAGGCGGCCAACUAAGUCGGACGUGAAAUCCCCAGGCUCAACCUGGGAACUGCGUCUGAUACUGGAUGGCUUGAGUUCGGGAGAGGGAUGCGGAAUUCCAGGUGUAGCGGUGAAAUGCGUAGAUAUCUGGAGGAACACCGGUGGCGAAGGCGGCAUCCUGGACCGACACUGACGCUGAGGAGCGAAAGCCAGGGGAGCAAACGGG